GAUGAACGCUGGCGGCGUGCCUAAUACAUGCAAGUCGAGCGAACAGGCGAGGAGCUUGCUCCUCUGACGUUAGCGGCGGACGGGUGAGUAACACGUGGAUAACCUACCUAUAAGACUGGGAUAACUUCGGGAAACCGGAGCUAAUACCGGAUAAUAUAUUGAACCGCAUGGUUCAAUAGUGAAAGACGGUUUUGCUGUCACUUAUAGAUGGAUCCGCGCCGCAUUAGCUAGUUGGUAAGGUAACGGCUUACCAAGGCAACGAUGCGUAGCCGACCUGAGAGGGUGAUCGGCCACACUGGAACUGAGACACGGUCCAGACUCCUACGGGAGGCAGCAGUAGGGAAUCUUCCGCAAUGGGCGAAAGCUUGACGGAGCAACGCCGCGUGAGUGAUGAAGGUCUUCGGAUCGUAAAACUCUGAUAUUAGGGAAGAACAAAUGUGUAAGUAACUAUGCACGUCUUGACGGUACCUAAUCAGAAAGCCACGGCUAACUACGUG
Molecule: ribosomal RNA, 497 nt
Filed under: uncultured bacterium
Lineage: Bacteria
Description: partial 16S ribosomal RNA
Rfam family: Bacterial small subunit ribosomal RNA
Source: RNAcentral